Molecule: long non-coding RNA, 1063 nt
Filed under: Coturnix japonica (Japanese quail)
Lineage: Eukaryota; Metazoa; Chordata; Aves; Galliformes; Phasianidae
Description: lncRNA (ENSCJPG00005004362.1)
Source: RNAcentral
AGGUUGAUAUGGGUGGUUCUGCUCCUCUACUCUGUUCUUGUGAGAUCCCACCUUGAGUACUGCAUACAGUUCUGGGGCUGUCAACACAAGAAGGACAUGGAGUUGUAGGGGCAGGCCCAGAUGAGGGUCACAAAGAUGAUCCUACUAGUACAGUCUGAGAGAACUGGAGCUCUUCAUGCUGGAGAAAACUCCAAGGAGACCUCAUAGUGGCCUUCCAGUAUCUGAAAUGGAGGCCUACAAGAAAGCUGGGAUUGGACUUUUUAUAGGGGCAGAUAGCAAGGAUGAAGGGAAACGGUUUUGAACUGGAAGAGAGCAGGUUUAGACGAGCUAUCAGGAAGAAAUUCUUCAUUGUGAGGGUGGUGAGAUACUGGAACAGGCUGCCCAGUGAGGUUGUUAAAUGCACCCCCUUCCCUGUGGCUUCUGUUUCUUUGGUUCAAAAGUCAAAAGGAUUCACAUUCAUGUACCCCAGGAGGGAGAGUUGUAUUUUCUGAAAAUUUGGAUCCACAUCUACUGUAAACUCUCAGAGUGUAACCAAAUUCCAUAGAUGCCAGUGAUAUACUUCAGUCUAUCCAGAGCUAUCUUUGCUGAAAAGCAAAUCACAUUUGUACCAAGAGGAGAAAAAAAGGGACAGAAGUCUCAUGUGGUAUUAAUAAACCUCAUAUUAAGCAGCAGGUUCUGUUCCAGCAGUUCUGCACAUUCAAGCAGGUACGUUUUAACUGCUGAUUCCUAUUGAAAAAUGUACAAAUACAGCUUUCAGGAGAGGAUUACACAACAAGCUUCAACUUGUUCUGUUAAUUACUUUUUUUUCAAAGGUACAGCAGAAAAUUUCUGGCAUGGAAUCUUGGUGAACCAAAUCUGUGAGCCAUUAAGAAUGGAUUACAUUUACAUUUAUAACCUCAUUGAUUCAAAAUCUUUUUCCCUUUCUAAGUCAUGUCCAGCUUUUCAUCCUCAGGUCCUCUUUACAAAGAACAAAAUCCAGCAGCUCAAGACAGAUUCACUGCUAUACUCAACUGGAAAUGAAAGAAAUAAUGUAUUUCAGAUACUCUAUGGGAAUUUUCCCUGA